This 2329-nucleotide unclassified non-coding RNA is filed under the name Hevea brasiliensis (rubber tree). The record is from RNAcentral. Lineage: Eukaryota; Viridiplantae; Streptophyta; Magnoliopsida; Malpighiales; Euphorbiaceae.
GAGAUACUCUAAUACUCGAGAAACAAAAGACCAGGCCAAGAGAGCAAAAUUUCAACAAACUCAGAAUCAAACUUAUUGAACAAGAACUCUAACCAUCGCCUCAUAUCAGUAUCAGCAUGCGUUGACACAUCCAAUCUAAGCAGACUUAAUAACCAGAGAGCACAUUGGAAGAAAAAAAAAAAAAGGAUAACACUUCCAUGAUGGUUCCAAAACCGCCCACAUGUAGAGUCAACAAACACACCACGAUGGCAUAUUCACCUUAGUUGGAAGUGAAUUCACACAUGCUUGCCAUACCAAGUGCUUUAUCUUGGCAGGAGAGUUUUUCCCAAAGAUCUCCAACCAUAUUUGAAAAUGAUGCUCCAUUCUCCAAUCUGGUAGAGAAUUUCCUCUAAUAUGCAAGAUGGUAAGCUGACCGCACAGAAAACAGGCCAUCCUUUUAGGGCUUCCAGAAUAUUAGUUUCACAUCUUGUGCUCAACCGGAUAGAUACCCUCAAUGCCAGAUUACUGCAUGUUCUGAAGAUCAAUGUCAUAAACUAUACACACAAGAUGAUCAAGUGAAACUUGAUGGCUAGUACAGGUAAGAAAAGCCAAUCCAAGCAAGAUCCAAUUGUUGUGGGGCUGCAUCUAUUGAGCUCAUGUUUGCAUCUUGUAUAAAUUGCACUAGCAGAAAUAAUCUUGAAAAUUUUGAACUCUUCAUUCAUGGAAGCAAACAAAUUGCGGCAUUACAAUUCGAUGAUUUCUUAACAAUGAACUAUGUUAGCAAAUUAACAGAUCAACUUUACUUCUAUCUCUUGCCAAGUAUUUUCUUCGUUUCUUCAUCUUCAUCUAUUUUAUCAGUUUUCAUGCAGUCCAAAAGUCCACAAAUAUCUUUGCCACUUCUUAUAUUUGCCUUCAAUGAAGCAUGAUACAUUUGUCUGUUCAUUGGAAUGAUAACUCUCAAACAGGCCACAAAAGCUUCUACAUCUUCAGCACUACCUUCAUCACCAAGCCAACUUAAAAUGUCUGUGAUCACCCGAGGGUUUGGCUUCCAUCCCUUGUUCUUCACAUGCAAGGAAAACGCAGCCUUCAUACAUUCAAAAGCUUUUUCCACCUCACCUUUUUCAACGUAUCCUGAAGCAACAAUGGCCCAACUAUUUGGGGUGGUAACUUUUCCUUUCUCCAUCAAUUCUUCAAGUAAUGUUUCUGCUUUCUCAUAAUAUCCUUUUCUAGAAUACCCAAUAAUAACAGUAUUUGGUACCCGAACAUCAUAAAAGUUGCCAGAUGAUUCCCACUCUUUCAAUAUUUUCUCAGCUUCUUCAAGCUCACCAAGUUUUACCAAAGAUUCCAGCAUGGUGAUGAAAUCUCUGUUUAUGUGCCUCUUACAUGCACUUUUCUCCAGAUCCCAUAAUCUCAAAACCUCAACCUUAUCCCCUAAAGUCGCAUAGAGUGAUAUCAGAUGGUUAUAACCAAUUCCAUCUUUCUUAUCUAACUUCUCUUCUGAUUUUUUAAGAGCAUAAAUUGCCUUAUCAGAAAGUCCAGCUUUUAUGUAAAAAUUGGCAACAACAGCAUAUGUGUUCCAGUCCAUGGCAAUCCCCAGUUGGCAUUCCAUCUCAUUCAAAACUCUCUCCAUUCCCUCAAUGUCAGAUCUAGCACCAUAUGAAUUGAGGCAGAUUCGGUAGCUGAAGUUGUCAGGAGAUACCUUGUUCUCCCUCAUCUCAGUUAGCACAUGAGGAACCUUCUCAUAGAGGCCAACAUUUGUGUAGAGACACAUAAUGUCAUUGUAAGCAAGAGGUGAUGAGGCAAAACCCAUCUCCUUCAUUUUCUGUAAAUGUGAGAUGGACUUGUCAACUUGACGCUGCCUACAAUAACAAUUUAGAAGAGCACCAUAUGUCUUAUCAGUUAAAUCAUGGUCCCUCAAGCUAUUGAAAUAGUUCUCAGCUGAAAGAAACCCAUGGACUCUACCAAUCAAAUCCAAUUGAACAGCAUGUUCAACCGGAGAGAAUAUGCAAAUGCCUCUUUUGUUCAUCCAGUCAGACACCUGCACCCCUCAAGGGCUUGACCGAACCGGUUUCGUCGACGCAGGUCGCGAAUGAUGCGCUGAAGCUCGCCAACUCGAACCUUGUUCCCAUGUUGGACCCAAUUUUCGAGCUCAGGCACCAAACUAAUGCUGGGGUCUCCUAAAGGACUGAUUUUUGAGUACAAGGUCACCCUUUUAGUCGUGUGGUAGGAUCUGCUAAACAUUGCAUAUGGACAUUGGAUUAGGGUUUUAAACGGUACCCUCAAGCUCAUGUUUAGAUUCUGGUAGAGAACUGAAGAAGACGCAAGAUGGAUUUUGCAGGGUACAGGGUUU